This is a long non-coding RNA of Nicotiana attenuata, 1229 nucleotides long. RefSeq lists it as uncharacterized. The transcript has 5 exons. The record is from RefSeq and is a predicted model, not a curated record. Lineage: Eukaryota; Viridiplantae; Streptophyta; Magnoliopsida; Solanales; Solanaceae.
GUGGGCAUCAAAACCUAACUCCAUCAACUAUCUCCUAAUGUCCCAAACGUCUCUUCCUCCUUUUAUUUUAUUCGCCAUUCCUUUUUUGUACAGAACUUUGCAAAUAUGGCUACAACACUUCAUGAAAUUAGUCAAAUUUUAAGCAAUUCGAUGCAAUGGAAUCUGUAAGUGAGAGUUGUUCGAAUGUGAAAAAUUUCGGAUCGUUUCAAGCCUCAUAUACCAUAUUUCAUAGAGUUAAUUUUGCAAGAUAAAAAGAGGCUUAUUGCACGAUGCUCUUACUCAACUUGCUAACUCUGAUGUGAUUGGUUAGGUUGUGAUCUAUGGAGCUGUUCAGACCUACAAGCAAGGAGAUAACAAAAGUGUCUUUAUGAAUGUUGAACUCGAAGAUGAGCAAUGGCAGCAACACCUGCUGAAUACUACCACCAAAUGCAAGACAAUCAUCUACGUUCAUGAUGAAUCCUUCUUCAACGUCCAUGUUCAUUAGCAGAUGAUACUGCAUGGAUUCCACGAACACAGAUAUGGUUGUUUAAGAGCAACCAAAAUCUUGGCAGAGAUGAGGAACACAUUAGCGCUAAUUGUUGUUCUGUGUAUCAACUCUUCUAAGGAUGGGUCAAGAGAAUAUGAAAAUUUGUGGGUUGCUUUUAAAUCUGAUAUUUCACAUGGCAACCAGUUACGCUGCUUCCUUAGCUCAGAUGACUAGGAUGGGGUAUUUGUUCCUGAACCUUAUAUGACUGAACUUUGAGGUACUUUCGUAGGAUAGCUGGAUAUUAACAUCUUUCUCCUUGAUGUAAGUAAUUAUUUACAUGUGUUGAAUUGAGUAGCUGGAGGAAUUCAUCCAAGAUCUAGCGUCUAAACAUAUUAUUUCUCACAUGGAGCAAAAAUUUGUCUACUCAAUCACCAAGUGCAAGACAAUCAACUACAUUCAUGAUGAAUCCUUCUCCAACAUCCAGGUUCAUUAGGAGAUGAUACUGUAGGGUCUCCACGGACACACAGAGGUGUAAAGAAAAAUUCGUAAAUUUCUCUAUUCAAGGUUUAUUCUCUUCAACUCUUGGAAUGAGGUGACUACUUUUCAAAUGUAAGAGAAGUUUAGGUAGCCACAAUCUGCCAUUUCAGAUUGUCAUUCUAAAUUGUGCAUUGAGCAGUUACAAUUAGUUUUUCCAAAAGCCCUAAAAGGUUAAGGACCUCAUGUUGUGGCAAGUGGUAUUAAGUUAAUAAUCUUGGAGCUUAAA